GAGAUUGAUAGCUUGCUAUCAAUCAAGUGAGUCGCGAACGGGUGAGUAACGCGUAGGUAACCUACCUUUAAGCGGGGGAUAACUAUUGGAAACGAUAGCUAAUACCGCAUAAAAUUGACAAACACAUGUUAGUCAAUUGAAAGAUACAACAGUAUCACUUAGAGAUGGACCUGCGUUGUAUUAGCUAGUAGGUGAGGUAACGGCUCACCUAGGCUGCGAUACAUAGCCGACCUGAGAGGGUGAUCGGCCACACUGGGACUGAGACACGGCCCAGACUCCUACGGGAGGCAGCAGUAGGGAAUCUUCGGCAAUGGGGGGAACCCUGACCGAGCAACGCCGCGUGAGUGAAGAAGGUKUUCGGAUCGUAAAGCUCUGUUGUAAGAGAAGAACGGGAGUAAGAGUGGAAAGUUUACUCUGUGACGGUAUCUUACCAGAAAGGGACGGCUAACUACGUGCCAGCAGCCGCGGUAAUACGUAGGUCCCGAGCGUUGUCCGGAUUUAUUGGGCGUAAAGGGAGCGCAGGCGGUUUUUUAAGUCUGAAGUUAAAGGCAGUGGCUCAACCAUUGUACGCUUUGGAAACUGGAGAACUUGAGUGCAGAAGGGGAGAGUGGAAUUCCAUGUGUAGCGGUGAAAUGCGUAGAUAUAUGGAGGAACACCAGUGGCGAAAGCGGCUCUCUGGUCUGUAACUGACGCUGAGGCUCGAAAGCGUGGGGAGCAAACAGGAUUAGAUACCCUGGUAGUCCACGCCGUAAACGAUGAGUGCUAGGUGUUAGGCCCUUUCCGGGGCUUAGUGCCGCAGCA
RNAcentral lists this ribosomal RNA (801 nucleotides) under uncultured bacterium. RNAcentral's name for it is "SSU rRNA". It matches the Rfam family "Bacterial small subunit ribosomal RNA", at positions 68 to 853 of the family's 1533-position model. The record is from RNAcentral.